Molecule: non-coding RNA, 1800 nt
Organism: Arachis ipaensis
Lineage: Eukaryota; Viridiplantae; Streptophyta; Magnoliopsida; Fabales; Fabaceae
Source: RefSeq, a predicted model, not a curated record
AUGUGUGCCUAUAAUUUUUUUCACAUUCAUUUGCUGUUUGGAACAUAUGUUUACCUAAUACAUUUACCAAUUCUCAUUGCCAUGAGUAGAAUCAGUAUUUGGGGUAGUUGAUGACUGCCUUCCCUAUGGUCUAAUGAUAUGUAGGUGCACUGUAUUAGGCAUUGUGUGAUAUCUUCUUUUUUGGUCCCUAUUCCUUGAAUUCUUCAAACUUUGACUGUUUUUUUUUAUCAGAUUUUCAUCGUGUGAUUAGUUCUCUCUAUGCUAUUGAAUGGAGAUGCAUAUGGACUGGGAUUUUCUUUUCCUUCCAUUUUCAUGUUCAAUUUGAAUUCAAAAAGAUGUCAUUGGUUUUUUAACUUCGGUGGGAGAAGAGAAAGAAUAUGCAAAAGAGAAAAAAAAUCGUGAAAAUGAUUGUGCUGGAAUUAACUUCAAAAGAUCUUACAAUGCGUUGUGCAUUGUUUGGGGACUAUGUUAAUCAAGUAAAUCAUUUUCUAGCCUCUGGCUAUGUGGAGCAGCCUAUUGUUGUCAUUCAACUUGCGAAAGUCAAGUUCUUUAGAGGUACAUUGUUUAAUUUCUGUACAUUUUCUUAUUUAUACUCUAAGUGUUGUCUCCUAUGAACUUUGCUAGACUCUUUUGAUAUUGCUGUGUAGGUCAAAUAGGUCUCCAAAAUGUGAUGUAUGCCACUCAAAUGUUAUUUAAUCCUGAUCUUUCUGAAGUUGUUGAAUUCAGGCGAAGGUUAGCAUGGUUUAUUUUGCUAUUUUUGUUUCUAUUCUUGAGAUACAGCCAAUCUAGAGUAAUAAAUACAUGUAUUUGCAUCAUUUUUUUUGUUAGUAUGAUUGAGCAAUGUGUCAAAGAUAUCCAGCCACUAUUUAUUGCAAAUGAGGGUAAAGUUGUUUCCUUGGAAGAUGAUUUUAUGCGCUUAACUAGAAGAUGCACUAUUGAAGAGCUCCAAGAUAACAAUGAGGUUGGCAUUUAUUGAUUUAGUUGUGUUUAUUUUAUACACCAAUGAACAGAGAAAAAAAAACAAUUUUUAGAUCUGUUCUUUUAUGCAUAUUGUUAACAAAUUUUAAAAUGUCCCUUUCCUAGGAGGGUUCUUUUAUCAUUUUCGGUAUAAUCAGAGGUAUUGUUGAAGAUGGAAGUUGGUGGUAUUCUGCUUGUGUGUGUGGAAAGGGUAUCUAUCCUCAAAAUGGUGCAUACUACUGUGAUUUCUGUGUGAAGCAUAUAACUAAUGUCACUCCGAGGUAAAAAAAUUUUGUUCAAAAUAUUUUUUCAUUUUGUGUUGUGGAUCUUUUAUAAGAAUAAUGUUUCAUGGUAUUAUUCAUUUUGAAAUGUUUUUUUUUCGAUUAUGCAUAUUUAAAAUUAAAAUAACACUUGAAGAUCAUAGUGGGGAGGGUAUUUUCGUUCUCUUUGAUCGUGAAGCAUCUUAUUUGUUUAAGAAAUCAUGCGCUGACCUGUUUACUGAGGUUCAAAAAGAUGCAAGUGUAUGUUCUUAGUUUUCUUUUGUGUGUUGUUCACUUUAUGUGGUUCAUUUUUUUUAUAGCUAUAUUCUUUAUUUUGGUUGAUAUGUGUUACUCAAUCUGUGUAUUUCUUAUCUAUUACCUUAAAAAUAGCUUAUAUGUGGGGAUACUUAUCCUCCCAUAUUCUAAGGGCUCAUUGGAAAAAAUUUGCUGUUGAAGGUUGAUACCAAAGGUGUCGGACUUGAUAAAUUUUUUGGCACUUUCCGAGUUAGGAGAGUAUGUGAUGAUCCUACCAUUAUUGCUAUGUUUGAACUUUCUGAUUAUGAUGCUGACGAUGAGUCUACUC